AGUGAACGCUGGCGGUAGGCCUAACACAUGCAAGUCGAACGGCAGCACAGUAAGAGCUUGCUCUUACGGGUGGCGAGUGGCGGACGGGUGAGGAAUACAUCGGAAUCUACUUUUUCGUGGGGGAUAACGUAGGGAAACUUACGCUAAUACCGCAUACGACCUACGGGUGAAAGCAGGGGAUCUUCGGACCUUGCGCGAUUGAAUGAGCCGAUGUCGGAUUAGCUAGUUGGCGGGGUAAAGGCCCACCAAGGCGACGAUCCGUAGCUGGUCUGAGAGGAUGUUAGGCAACAUUGAAACGGGGAAACGGUCCAACUCCUAAGGGGAGGAAGAAGGGGGGAAAAUGGGAAAAGGGGCGAAAGCCUGUUCAAGCAAUACCGGGUGGGUGAAGAGGCCCUUGGGGUGGAAAAGCCUUUUUGUGGGAAAGAAAAGGAGCCGGGUUAAACCCCGCUGUUCUGACGGUACCCAAAGAGUAAGCACCGGCUAACUUCGUG
RNAcentral lists this ribosomal RNA (491 nucleotides) under uncultured bacterium. Its description in RNAcentral is "partial 16S ribosomal RNA". It matches the Rfam family "Bacterial small subunit ribosomal RNA", at positions 29 to 507 of the family's 1533-position model. The record is from RNAcentral.